UUGUGGAGGAGGACGCCGAAGGUGGGGCUAAUGACUGGGGUGAAGUCGUAACAAGGUAGCCGUACCGGAAGGUGCGGCUGGAUCACCUCCUAACAGGGAGACAACAAAAUGUUAAAUAUUAAUUUUGUCACCUUAGGUCGAUCGGUAUCUCACAUUCUUAAUUUAUUAAGAAUUUUAUUUCCUAAGUUUUUUCUAGGUCACACCCAUUACUUUUUCCUGGGCCAUUAGCUCAGGUGGUUAGAGCGCACCCCUGAUAAGGGUGAGGUCCCUGGUUCAAGUCCAGGAUGGCCCAUAUCUCUAUGUUGGGGGUAUAGCUCAGUUGGUAGAGCGCCUGCUUUGCAAGCAGGAUGUCAGCGGUUCGAGUCCGCUUACCUCCACUGAUCACCACCUCUUCCAUAAUUUAUAGAAGGGAAAUGUUUUGAGUUGUGAUCAAAUUCUGAACGAAUCUAGCUUCCUAAUAAAACUUAUUAAGAUGCUGGACUCAUUGAAUUAAUUUCAUUGUUUUCAGAGAACCUUGACAACUGCAUAGAUUAUUUUUAAAGACAAUAAGCAUCUUUAAUGAUGCAGAUUUAUUAUUUGUGCGAAUGCAUUAAUAACAAUUCUAUUAAGCUGAUGCUUCAAUUUUGAAGUUAUUGGUCAAGCUACAA
This 647-nucleotide unclassified non-coding RNA is filed under the name uncultured Prochlorococcus sp. Its description in RNAcentral is "partial 16S-23S ribosomal RNA intergenic spacer; may also contain 16S ribosomal RNA and 23S ribosomal RNA". The stretch from base 305 to 377 matches the Rfam family "tRNA". The record is from RNAcentral. Lineage: Bacteria; Bacillati; Cyanobacteriota; Cyanophyceae; Synechococcales; Prochlorococcaceae.